This 67-nucleotide transfer RNA is filed under the name Gagea glacialis. RNAcentral's name for it is "tRNA-Phe". The record is from RNAcentral. RNAcentral also lists the same sequence under 4 other names. Lineage: Eukaryota; Viridiplantae; Streptophyta; Magnoliopsida; Liliales; Liliaceae.
UUUUUAUGGACUUUUACUUUUAAUUAAUUCACUUAAUAUAGAUAAAGUGCUCUACUAAGAUAAUGUG